UACGUAGGGUGCGAGCGUUGUCCGGAAUUAUUGGGCGUAAAGAGCUCGUAGGCGGUUUGUCGCGUCUAUCGUGAAAACUGGAGGCUUAACUUUCAGCGUGCGGUGGAUACGGGCAGACUUGAGUUCGGUAGGGGAGACUGGAAUUCCGGGUGUAGUGGUGAAAUGCGUAGAUAUCCGGAGGAACACCAGUGGCGAAGGCGACUUUCUGGCCUGUUCUUGACGCUGAGGCGCGAAAGCUAGGGGAGCAAACGGG
Molecule: ribosomal RNA, 253 nt
Filed under: uncultured bacterium
Lineage: Bacteria
Description: partial 16S ribosomal RNA
Rfam family: Bacterial small subunit ribosomal RNA
Source: RNAcentral